Molecule: transfer RNA, 100 nt
Organism: Beta vulgaris subsp. vulgaris (sugar beet)
Lineage: Eukaryota; Viridiplantae; Streptophyta; Magnoliopsida; Caryophyllales; Amaranthaceae
Rfam family: tRNA
About the family: Transfer RNA (tRNA) molecules are approximately 80 nucleotides in length. Their secondary structure includes four short double-helical elements and three loops (D, anti-codon, and T loops). Further hydrogen bonds mediate the characteristic L-shaped molecular structure. tRNAs have two regions of fundamental functional importance: the anti-codon, which is responsible for specific mRNA codon recognition, and the 3' end, to which the tRNAs corresponding amino acid is attached (by aminoacyl-tRNA synthetases). tRNAs cope with the degeneracy of the genetic code in two manners: having more than one tRNA (with a specific anti-codon) for a particular amino acid; and 'wobble' base-pairing, i.e. permitting non-standard base-pairing at the 3rd anti-codon position.
Source: Rfam
CGGACCUUAGCUCAGUUGGUAAAGUGGUGGACUGUACUGGUCAAUGAUCCACAGUCCACAGAUAAUCCUUAGGUUGCUGGUUUUAAUCCAGCAGGUCAGA